UAAUACGUAGGUUGCGAGCGUUGUCCGGAUUUACUGGGUGUAAAGCGCGCGCAGGCGGUCUCGAAAGUCCACGGUGAAAGCUCCCGGCCCAACUGGGAGAGGCCCGUGGAAACUUCGAGACUUGAAGAUGGCAGAGGCAGAUGGAAUUUCCGGUGUAGCGGUAAAAUGCGUAGAUACCGGAAGGAACACCAGUGGCGAAGGCGAUCUGCUGGGCCAUCCUUGACGCUCAGGCGCGAAAGCUAGGGUAGCGACCGGGAUUAGAUACCCCGUUAGUCCUAGCCGUAAACAAUGGUCACUAGGUGUUGCAGGUAUCGACCCCCGCAGUGCCGAAGCUAACGCAUUAAGUGACCCACCUGGGGAGUACGGCCGCAAGGCUA
This 377-nucleotide ribosomal RNA is filed under the name uncultured bacterium. Its description in RNAcentral is "bacterial SSU rRNA". It matches the Rfam family "Bacterial small subunit ribosomal RNA", at positions 521 to 896 of the family's 1533-position model. The record is from RNAcentral.